AACAUGAUUGGAUGAAACACAAUUUGGCUUGUGAGUGGUUUAAACUGCCACCUUGUGCGUGCGUGGACCCUGCUCCAGCCACCUGGCCUGAGCCCAGGACCCCCACCCGAAACACUUCAAAUAAUAUCCUAAAUUCUGAAUCUCCCAUUUGUCCAUGCUGAGGUGACUUGCAAGAUCUGAGGAUACCAUUGCUCAGUGGAAAUCUUUAAAAGAAACCCAUGAACUCAACAAAUUGUGCCAGAUUUAGACUACUGAGAAUGGAUCUUCCAAACGUGACAGUUGAUAGGAAAAAGCCCAAAGAAUACCCCGGACACUGUUUGGAAGAAGAGUGAAUACAACUAAGAAAAGGGAGAAAAAAGACUUGUUUUAUCAAGCACACAAAAUAUCUACAAAGAGAGACUUCCUCUCUAUUUCAAGACCAAGAGAACAGACCUCUAAGCAAACAAUUUAAAAUGGGACCAAAUGCUAAAGACUGUAAAGUGAACCCAAAGACAUAUGACAUAUAUCUACAACAAACAAGAUUUUGAUAAUCUCUAGGAUGCAGAAAGGGCUUAUUUAUAAUGUCUUGGUGGUGUCUCUCUAGGCAAUUCCAGCGUACAUAUUUGUUCUAAAUUAACACUUCAGCAAUUUUCAACAUGACAGAAAGCACCACACCAUGCCUCCGUUGUUCUGAACCCAUUAAAUUGCAAUUUGUGUUUACAUGUUAGAUGCUGAAAGCCUAAGAACAUUCUUUGUGUAUUUAAUAAGAUAAAUGAUUUUGUGUAUAAAUAAUCCCUUAA
RNAcentral lists this long non-coding RNA (779 nucleotides) under Apteryx owenii (little spotted kiwi). RNAcentral describes it as "lncRNA (ENSAOWG00000013504.1)". The record is from RNAcentral. Lineage: Eukaryota; Metazoa; Chordata; Aves; Apterygiformes; Apterygidae.